UACGUAGGGUGCGAGCGUUGUCCGGAAUUAUUGGGCGUAAAGAGCUCGUAGGCGGUCUGUCGCGUCGAUCGUGAAAACUUGGGGCUUAACCCUGAGCUUGCGGUCGAUACGGGCAUGACUGGAGUUCGGCAGGGGAGACUGGAAUUCCUGGUGUAGCGGUGAAAUGCGCAGAUAUCAGGAGGAACACCGGUGGCGAAGGCGGGUCUCUGGGCCGAUACUGACGCUGAGGAGCGCAAGCGUGGGGAGCAAACAGG
This 254-nucleotide ribosomal RNA is filed under the name uncultured bacterium. RNAcentral describes it as "partial 16S ribosomal RNA". It matches the Rfam family "Bacterial small subunit ribosomal RNA", at positions 524 to 776 of the family's 1533-position model. The record is from RNAcentral.